UACAGGGGGUGCAAACGUUGCUCGGAAUCAUUGGGCGUAAAGCGCACGUAGGCGGUUCGUUAUGUCGGAUGUGAAAGCCCUUGGCUUAACCGAGGAAGUGCAUCCGAAACUGGCGAGCUAGAGUACGAAAGAGGAUCGCGGAAUUCCCGGUGUAGAGGUGAAAUUCGUAGAUAUCGGGAAGGAACACCAGUGGCGAAGGCGGCCCACCUAGACCGUCCCUGACGCUCAAACACGAAAGCUAGGGUAGCGAACGGG
This 255-nucleotide ribosomal RNA is filed under the name uncultured bacterium. Its description in RNAcentral is "partial 16S ribosomal RNA". It matches the Rfam family "Bacterial small subunit ribosomal RNA", at positions 524 to 776 of the family's 1533-position model. The record is from RNAcentral.